GCUAGCGGCAGGCUUAAUACAUGCAAGUCGAGGGGUAACAGGGUCUUCGGAUCGCUGACGACCGGCGCACGGGUGCGUAACGCGUAUGCAACCUACCUCUAACUGGGGAAUAGCCCCGAGAAAUCGGGAUUAAUACCCCAUAAUAUUCAUCAUUCGCAUGUUUGAUGAAUUAAAGUUCCGACGGUUAGAGAUGGGCAUGCGUGACAUUAGCUAGUUGGUGAGGUAACGGCUCACCAAGGCAACGAUGUCUAGGGGUUCUGAGAGGAUUGUCCC
Molecule: ribosomal RNA, 273 nt
Filed under: uncultured Bacteroidota bacterium
Lineage: Bacteria; Pseudomonadati; Bacteroidota
Description: uncultured Bacteroidetes bacterium partial 16S ribosomal RNA
Rfam family: Bacterial small subunit ribosomal RNA
Source: RNAcentral